CGAGGGGAGUGAAAAAGAACCUGAAACCGUGUACGUACAAGCAGUGGGAGCACCCUUUGGGGUGUGACUGCGUACCUUUUGUAUAAUGGGUCAGCGACUUAUAUUCUGUAGCAAGGUUAACCGAAUAGGGGAGCCGGAGGGAAACCGAGUCUUAACCGGGCGUUAAGUUGCAGGGUAUAGACCCGAAACCCGGUGAUCUAGCCAUGGGCAGGUUGAAGGUUGGGUAACACUAACUGGAGGACCGAACCGACUAAUGUUGAAAAAUUAGCGGAUGACCUGUGGCUGGGGGUGAAAGGCCAAUCAAACCGGGAGAUAGCUGGUUCUCCCCGAAAGCUAUUUAGGUAGCGCCUCGUGAAUUCAUCUCCGGGGGUAGAGCACUGUUUCGGCUAGGGGGCCAUCCCGGCUUACCAACCCGAUGCAAACUGCGAAUACCGGAGAAUGUUAUCACGGGAGACACACGGCGGGUGCUAACGUCCGUCGUGAAGAGGGAAACAACCCAGACCGCCAGCUAAGGUCCCAAAGUCAUGGUUAAGUGGGAAACGAUGUGGGAAGGCCCAGACAGCCAGGAUGUUGGCUUAGAAGCAGCCAUCAUUUAAAGAAAGCGUAAUAGCUCACUGGUCGAGUCGGCCUGCGCGGAAGAUGUAACGGGGCUAAACCAUGCACCGAAGCUGCGGCAGCGACGCUGAUGCGUUGUUGGGUAGGGGAGCGUUCUGUAAGCCUGCGAAGGUGGCCUGUGAGGGUUGCUGGAGGUAUCAGAAGUGCGAAUGCUGACAUAAGUAACGAUAAAGCGGGUGAAAAGCCCGCUCGCCGGAAGACCAAGGGUUCCUGUCCAACGUUAAUCGGGGCAGGGUGAGUCGACCCCUAAGGCGAGGCCGAAAGGCGUAGUCGAUGGGAAACGGGUUAAUAUUCCCGUACUUGGUGUUACUGCGAAGGGGGGACGGAGAAGGCUAUGUUGGCCGGGCGACGGUUGUCCCGGUUUAAGCGUGUAGGUGUGUGUUCCAGGUAAAUCCGGUU
Molecule: ribosomal RNA, 1014 nt
Filed under: Salmonella enterica
Lineage: Bacteria; Pseudomonadati; Pseudomonadota; Gammaproteobacteria; Enterobacterales; Enterobacteriaceae
Description: partial 23S ribosomal RNA
Rfam family: Bacterial large subunit ribosomal RNA
Source: RNAcentral